Molecule: ribosomal RNA, 402 nt
Filed under: uncultured bacterium
Lineage: Bacteria
Description: bacterial SSU rRNA
Rfam family: Bacterial small subunit ribosomal RNA
Source: RNAcentral
AGGGAAUAUUGCAAAAUGGGCGAAAGCCCGAUGCAGCAACGCCGCGUGGGCGAUGAAGGCCUUCGGGUCGUAAAGCCCUUUUUGAGGGGAUGAGGAAGGACAGUACCCUCGGAAUAAGCCUCGGCUAACUACGUGCCAGCAGCCGCGGUAAAACGUAGGAGGCGAGCGUUAUCCGGAUUUACUGGGCGUAAAGCGCGUGCAGGCGGAUUGGAGAGUUGGAUGUGAAAGCUCCCGGCUUAACUGGGAGAGGUCGUUCAAUACUUCCAGUCUUGAGUGCAGUAGAGGGAAGUGGAAUUCCGGGUGUAGUGGUGAAAUGCGUAGAUAUCCGGAGGAACACCAGUGGCGAAAGCGGCUUCCUGGACUGUAACUGACGCUCAGACGCGAAAGCUAGGGUAGCAAACG